Molecule: ribosomal RNA, 263 nt
Filed under: uncultured bacterium
Lineage: Bacteria
Description: partial 16S ribosomal RNA
Source: RNAcentral
CUGCUGCCUCCCGUAGGAGUCUGGUCCGUGUCUCAGUACCAGUGUGGGGGACCUUCCUCUCAGAACCCCUAGACAUCGUCGCCUUGGUGGGCCGUUACCCCGCCAACUAGCUAAUGUCACGCAUGCCCAUCCGUCUCCGGAGUCGCCUCCUUUGGCCGAAAGAAGAUGCCUCCCCUCGGCCACAUGCGGUAUUAGGCCGGAUUUCUCCGGGUUAUCCCGCUGAAACGGGCAGGUUGCAUACGCGUUGCUCACCCGUGCGCCGG